This is a long non-coding RNA of Nicotiana tabacum (common tobacco), 581 nucleotides long. RefSeq lists it as uncharacterized. The record is from RefSeq and is a predicted model, not a curated record. NCBI's taxonomy places the organism in Eukaryota, Viridiplantae, Streptophyta, Magnoliopsida, Solanales, Solanaceae.
GUGUACUUGGCCCCCAAAGUAAUGUAUUAGGGUUUAGCCCAAAGUUUGAACAAUGAGAAAUAUAACCUUCGCGGCGACUAGCUAACUUUUUUCUCCUUCUCUUCCAUAGCCGCCGCCGAGGUCAGUGUUUCAAGUUGGAGUGGGCUUAUUUUGUGAAAUCGAAUGGUUUGUGCAAAUAAAGAAUUGUCUAAGGUAAUGUGAUUCUGCAUUAUCGUAGGCAGGACGAGGCUUAUUCGGGAUGUCUUAUGGACUUCCAAUGCUUGCGUAUCUCAUUCCUCUCAUCAGCAUCCUCAAGUUUUCAAGAUCUUUUCUGCACUCCCAAAUCUUGAUACUGGUGUUGGUCCUAGCGGUGUCUAAUGAUACUUCUGUUCAGAUCAUUUCUAUAGUGGAUACUUGAGGUAGAGCUAUUGGCGUUCGCAGUCCCUGAAGUCCCCUUCUAUUCAUGUCUUUACCGUUUAUGUCUUUUCAAACAAUUAUAUUUUGUUCAAACCAUACUUGUAGUAUUCUAGUUGCUCAUAUACUAAUGACUCUAGAUUUUUGGGAUUAGACUAGAACGUGGUAUAUUAUGGGUUUAUUUUAUA